AUGGCGAGCUCGUCAUCCGAGGCGGCGCCGCCAGUCGCCGCCGGCGAGGAUCCAGCGGCGCCCGCAAAGGGACAAGAGAGGACGAAGAAGGAGAAGACGAGGGUGGUCUUGCCGCAGUUCCACCUGGACACGCUCAUGAGGGCCGAGGAAUUCCUGGAGCCUCUGCCGCCGCCGGACGAGGAGUUUCUUGCGCAGGUCCGGGAGCAGCGCGGACAGAAGGGCUUCGUCGAGAUAGAUCUCACCGACGACGAGGAGGAGGAGGAUGAGGAGGAGGAGGAGAAGGAGGGAGGAAACGCAGCUCCCCCGGCUGGAGGAAGGGGAUCUAUGGAGGAGGACAAGUUCAGCCCCGAGGUCACCAAGAAACCCAGCGACGGCGACGGCGGCGGCAGGAUUCGUCGGUUGAUUGGUAACUGA
RNAcentral lists this ribosomal RNA (414 nucleotides) under Triticum aestivum (bread wheat). RNAcentral's name for it is "partial small subunit ribosomal RNA". The record is from RNAcentral. Lineage: Eukaryota; Viridiplantae; Streptophyta; Magnoliopsida; Poales; Poaceae.